GUAAUGCGAUAAGUAAUGUGAAUUGCAGAAUUCAGUGAAUCAUCGAAUCUUUGAACGCACAUUGCGCUCGCCAGUAUUCUGGCGAGCAUGCCUGUUCGAGCGUCAUUUCAACCAUCAAGCUCUGCUUGCGUUGGGGAUCCGCGGCUGCCCGCGGUCCCUCAAAAACAGUGGCGGGCUCGCUAGUCACACCGAGCGUAGUAACUCUACAUCGCUAUGGUCGUGCGGCGGGUUCUUGCCGUAAAACCCCCAAUUUCUAAGGUUGACCUCGGAUCAGGUAGGAAUACCCGCUGAACUUAAGC
This 299-nucleotide unclassified non-coding RNA is filed under the name plant metagenome. Its description in RNAcentral is "partial contains 5.8S ribosomal RNA, internal transcribed spacer 2, and large subunit ribosomal RNA". The stretch from base 1 to 105 matches the Rfam family "5.8S ribosomal RNA", at positions 50 to 154 of the family's 154-position model. The record is from RNAcentral.